UACAGAGGGUGCAAGCGUUAAUCGGAAUUACUGGGCGUAAAGCGCGCGUAGGUGGUUUGUUAAGUUGAAUGUGAAAGCCCCGGGCUCAACCUGGGAACUGCAUCCAAAACUGGCAAGCUAGAGUAUGGUAGAGGGUGGUGGAAUUUCCUGUGUAGCGGUGAAAUGCGUAGAUAUAGGAAGGAACACCAGUGGCGAAGGCGACCACCUGGACUGAUACUGACACUGAGGUGCGAAAGCGUGGGGAGCAAACAGG
Molecule: ribosomal RNA, 253 nt
Filed under: uncultured bacterium
Lineage: Bacteria
Description: partial 16S ribosomal RNA
Rfam family: Bacterial small subunit ribosomal RNA
Source: RNAcentral